This is a small nucleolar RNA of Melanotaenia boesemani (Boeseman's rainbowfish), 143 nucleotides long. RefSeq annotates it as small nucleolar RNA SNORA29. Lineage: Eukaryota; Metazoa; Chordata; Actinopteri; Atheriniformes; Melanotaeniidae. The transcript has a single exon. The record is from RefSeq and is a predicted model, not a curated record.
UGUCCUGUUUUAGUACCAUGCAUCUUCCUUUUACCAAAGAUGUGUGGCUAUGCUAACAGGAAAGAGAAACUUUUCAUCACUUGCUGAAGGAGUUGAGCAGCCUCAUUCCUGUCGCUCCUAAUGAAAUGAUGGCACAGAGCACA